RNAcentral lists this ribosomal RNA (204 nucleotides) under Staphylococcus aureus. Its description in RNAcentral is "partial 16S ribosomal RNA". It matches the Rfam family "Bacterial small subunit ribosomal RNA", at positions 554 to 756 of the family's 1533-position model. The record is from RNAcentral. Lineage: Bacteria; Bacillati; Bacillota; Bacilli; Caryophanales; Staphylococcaceae.
CGUUGGGGGUAGGCGCGCGUAGGCGGUUUCUUAAGUCUGAUGUGAAAGCCCACGGCUCAACCGUGGAGGGUCAUUGGAAACUGGGAAACUUGAGUGCAGAAGAGGAAAGUGGAAUUCCAUGUGUAGCGGUGAAAUGCGCAGAGAUAUGGAGGAACACCAGUGGCGAAGGCGACUUUCUGGUCUGUAACUGACGAUGAUGUGCGA